CCCCUCCAACCUCCGGCCCCUCGCACGUCCCUGUAAGGGGAUGAACAAAAAAGAAACAUUUCUCAGAAUACACUUUUUCAUGAGACAUUAGGAAUACGAAUAUUACUACAGAUCUCUGAUCAGCUUCAGACUUCAUCUCUUACCAUACCAAGAACAGAGACUUUCAGGUCUCCUUGUUGAUGAUUUCACGAUGUCAGCACUUUUGAUGUACCUGAAGCAGCCAAGCUGCAUCUACUGUGCAUAUAUAUGGUUGGCAACCCUAGCUGUGGUGAAUGCACAGGAAGUGUUACAUCCCAAACCUGAUGAGGUUCAGAUUUUAAAUGAAGACAGCGGAGGACUUCACUUCUUAGCAGACCAAGGAAACACAAACUAUCCAGGUAAGGUUGAAAUGUUAUUAA
Megalobrama amblycephala (Wuchang bream) is the source of this 398-nucleotide long non-coding RNA. RefSeq lists it as uncharacterized. The record is from RefSeq and is a predicted model, not a curated record. NCBI's taxonomy places the organism in Eukaryota, Metazoa, Chordata, Actinopteri, Cypriniformes, Xenocyprididae. The transcript has 3 exons.